Molecule: non-coding RNA, 29 nt
Filed under: Mus musculus (house mouse)
Lineage: Eukaryota; Metazoa; Chordata; Mammalia; Rodentia; Muridae
Source: RNAcentral
UAAAAUUAUGGCUGCUUCCCCUCAUGGUA